AGGGACAAAGAGGAUUCAGAGGAAACAAGGGUCAUGAUGGUGACAUUGGACUCGAUGGGAUUGAUGGACAGGAGGGAGAGCGAGGAUCUCCUGGAUCGCUAGGACCAAGGGGCCGUUCAGGACGGAGGG
Molecule: non-coding RNA, 129 nt
Organism: Anolis sagrei ordinatus
Lineage: Eukaryota; Metazoa; Chordata; Lepidosauria; Squamata; Anolidae
Source: RefSeq, a predicted model, not a curated record